UGGGGAAUUUUGGACAAUGGGGGAAACCCUGAUCCAGCCAUCCCGCGUGUGCGAUGAAGGCCUUCGGGUUGUAAAGCACUUUUGGCAGGAAAGAAACUUCAUGGGUUAAUACCCCGUGAAACUGACGGUACCUGCAGAAUAAGCACCGGCUAACUACGUGCCAGCAGCCGCGGUAAUACGUAGGGUGCAAGCGUUAAUCGGAAUUACUGGGCGUAAAGCGUGCGCAGGCGGUUCGGAAAGAAAGAUGUGAAAUCCCAAAGCUCAACUUUGGAACUGCAUUUUUAACUACCGGGCUAGAGUGUGUCAGAGGGAGGUGGAAUUCCGCGUGUAGCAGUGAAAUGCGUAGAUAUGCGGAGGAACACCGAUGGCGAAGGCAGCCUCCUGGGAUAACACUGACGCUCAUGCACGAAAGAGUGGGGAGCAAACAGG
RNAcentral lists this ribosomal RNA (429 nucleotides) under Acidobacteriota bacterium. RNAcentral's name for it is "Acidobacteria bacterium partial 16S ribosomal RNA". It matches the Rfam family "Bacterial small subunit ribosomal RNA", at positions 355 to 776 of the family's 1533-position model. The record is from RNAcentral. Lineage: Bacteria; Pseudomonadati; Acidobacteriota.